GGUUUUAUUAGAUCUAGUGGCUAGGAUAUUUGGCUUUCACUUAGGAGGCCCUAGUUCGAUUCUCGGCGUAGGAUUU
Non-coding RNA from Cordylochernes scorpioides, 76 nucleotides. The record is from the annotation of a GenBank genome assembly. NCBI's taxonomy places the organism in Eukaryota, Metazoa, Arthropoda, Arachnida, Pseudoscorpiones, Chernetidae.